CUCGUUCACCAUCAGUCUCUUCCCACAAGAGAAUGUACAAAAUGAGGCCGAGGUUUCUCUGCAACAGUUUGCCUGCUGGUUUGAUGUUCAGUUUCUUUGUUUUCCUGCUUCAACCAGUUUCCACACAGAGAAUCAGAAAUCAGAUUUAUUUCUUGGAUAAUGAAGGCGACAUUGUGUUAAACGGACCGGACAAUCCUGGGAGUGACACUGUUGUCUGGGAAUGGGAACCACACUCAGGGCGGGGAAAACAGACAGUGGUAAUUCUCCGCGACCAGAACAAGGACACGUGGAGCAAACAGUGGGACAAUGGCUGGGGAAACACAGACAAGAACCAGGAGGUGGAUGUGGAUGACCAUACUGGUAAUCUGGCAAUAACAAAACCCAGAUUUAAAUGGUCAGGAUUGUUCACUUUGACCGAAACACAU
Amblyraja radiata (thorny skate) is the source of this 425-nucleotide long non-coding RNA. RefSeq lists it as uncharacterized. The transcript has 3 exons. The record is from RefSeq and is a predicted model, not a curated record. Lineage: Eukaryota; Metazoa; Chordata; Chondrichthyes; Rajiformes; Rajidae.